AUGCGAUACUUGGUGUGAAUUGCAGAAUUCAGUGAAUCAUCGAAUCUUUGAACGCACCUUGCGCCCUUUGGUAUUCCGAGGGGCAUGCCUGUUUGAGUGUCAUUAAAUACCAUCAACCCUCUUUUGACUUCGGUCUCGAGAGUGGCUUGGAAGUGGAGGUCUGCUGGAGCCUAACGGAGCCAGCUCCUCUUAAAUGUAUUAGCGGAUUUCCCUUGCGGGAUCGCGUCUCCGAUGUGAUAAUUUCUACGUCGUUGACCAUCUCGGGGCUGACCUAGUCAGUUUCAAUAGGAGUCUGCUUCUAACCGUCUCUUGACUGAGACUAGCGACUUGUGCGCUAACUUUUGACUUGACCUCAAAUCAGGUAGGACUACCCGCUGAACUUAAGCAUAUCAAUAAGCGGAGGAA
Molecule: ribosomal RNA, 405 nt
Filed under: Schizophyllum sp. BAB-3922
Lineage: Eukaryota; Fungi; Basidiomycota; Agaricomycetes; Agaricales; Schizophyllaceae
Description: eukaryotic LSU rRNA
Rfam family: 5.8S ribosomal RNA (bases 1-102)
Source: RNAcentral